RNAcentral lists this ribosomal RNA (259 nucleotides) under uncultured bacterium. Its description in RNAcentral is "partial 16S ribosomal RNA". It matches the Rfam family "Bacterial small subunit ribosomal RNA", at positions 1243 to 1500 of the family's 1533-position model. The record is from RNAcentral.
AGGGCGGCGAAGCCGCGAGGUGGAGCGAAUCCCAAAAAGCCGGUCUAAGUUCGGAUUGCAGGCUGCAACCCGCCUGCAUGAAGUCGGAAUCGCUAGUAAUCGCGAGUCAGCAUAUCGCGGUGAAUACGUUCCCGGGUCUUGUACACACCGCCCGUCACACCAUGGGAGUUGGCAACACCCGAAGUCGAUGAGCUAACCUUUUAGGAGGCAGUCGCCUAAGGUGGGGUUGAUAACUGGGGUGAAGUCGUAACAAGGUAAC